UUCCUCACAAUUAAGCAGGACAUGCAAAUGCACAAUAGCUAAUUCUUUCUCAUUCAAAUAAUGACUCUUACAAGUUCCUCCUGGACGACCAACAUGAUUGAAAACUGAUAAAGUUGUUUGGCUCGUGUCAUUUUGACCUCCAAAAUCAUUUCGACCAACUUUAGUUCUCAUUGAUUGGACAUGUGACUCAAAAUAAUAUGA
This 201-nucleotide long non-coding RNA is filed under the name Phaseolus vulgaris (common bean). RNAcentral's name for it is "long non-coding RNA (PVUL_LNC003389)". Lineage: Eukaryota; Viridiplantae; Streptophyta; Magnoliopsida; Fabales; Fabaceae. The record is from RNAcentral.